CUACGUAGGGGGCAAGCGUUAUCCGGAUUUACUGGGCGUAAAGGGAGCGUAGACGGAAUAGCAAGUCUGAAGUGAAAUCAUAGAGCUCAACUCUGUAAUUGCUUUGGAAACUGUUGAUCUUGAGUACCGGAGGGGCAGGCGGAAUUCCUGGUGUAGCGGGGAAAUUAGUAGAUAUCAGGAAAAACACCGGUGGCGAAGGCGUCCUGCUGGGCCGGAACUGGCGUUUAGGCUCAAAAGCGUGGGGAGCAAACGGGAUUAAAUACCCUGGUAGUCCACCCCCUAAACGAUUAAAACUAAGUUUCGGCAAUCGAAGGAUGUCGGUGCUUCCGUUAACACAAUAAGUAUUCCACCUGGGGAGUACGUACGCAAGGAUGAAACUCAAAGGAAUUGACGGGG
RNAcentral lists this ribosomal RNA (396 nucleotides) under uncultured bacterium. RNAcentral's name for it is "partial 16S ribosomal RNA". It matches the Rfam family "Bacterial small subunit ribosomal RNA", at positions 523 to 918 of the family's 1533-position model. The record is from RNAcentral.